RNAcentral lists this ribosomal RNA (253 nucleotides) under uncultured bacterium. RNAcentral describes it as "partial 16S ribosomal RNA". It matches the Rfam family "Bacterial small subunit ribosomal RNA", at positions 524 to 776 of the family's 1533-position model. The record is from RNAcentral.
AACGUAGGAGACAAACGUUAUCCGGAGUUACUGGGCGUAAAGGGCGUGCAGGUGGUCGGUUAAGUCUGGCGUGAAAGCUCCUGGCUAAACCGGGAGAGGUCGUUGGAUACUGGCGGACUAGAGGACGGUAGAGGCGUGUGGAAUUCCGGGUGUAGUGGUGAAAUGCGUAGAGAUCCGGAGGAACACCAGUGGCGAAGGCGACACGCUGGGCCGUACCUGACACUGAUACGCGACAGCAUGGGGAGCGAACGGG